RNAcentral lists this ribosomal RNA (460 nucleotides) under uncultured bacterium. RNAcentral describes it as "partial 16S ribosomal RNA". It matches the Rfam family "Bacterial small subunit ribosomal RNA", at positions 338 to 795 of the family's 1533-position model. The record is from RNAcentral.
CCUACGGGUGGCAGCAGUGAGGAAUAUUGGUCAAUGGGCGCGAGCCUGAACCAGCCAAGUAGCGUGAAGGAUGACUGCCCUACGGGUUGUAAACUUCUUUUAUCAAGGAAUAAACUGAGGCACGUGUGCCUUUUUGUAUGUACUUUAUGAAUAAGGAUAGGCUCACUCGGUGCCAGCAGCCGCGGUAAUACGGAGGAUCCGAGCGUUAGCCGGAUUUAUUGGGUUUAAAGGGAACGUAGAUGGGGUGUUAAGUCAGUUGUGAAAGUUUGCGGCUCAACCGUAAAAUUGCAAUUGAUACUGGCAGUCUUGAGUACAGUUGAGGGAGGCGGAAUUCGUGGUGUAGCGGUGAAAUGCGUAGAUAUCACGAAGAACUCCGAUUGCGAAGGCAGCUUACUAAACAGCCACUGACAUUGAUGCGCGAAAGUGUGGGUAUCAAACAGGAUUAGAUACCCCUGUAGUC